CCUACGGGUGGCAGCAGUGAGGAAUAUUGGUCAAUGGACGAGAGUCUGAACCAGCCAAGUAGCGUGAAGGAUGACUGCCCUAUGGGUUGUAAACUUCUUUUAUAUGGGAAUAAAAUGUUCCACGUGUGGGAUUUUGUAUGUACCAUAUGAAUAAGGAUCGGCUAACUCCGUGCCAGCAGCCGCGGUAAUACGGAGGAUCCGAGCGUUCUCCGGAUUUAUUGGGUUUAAAGGGAGCGUAGGUGGAUUGUUAAGUCAGUUGUGAAAGUUUGCGGCUCAACCGUAAAAUUGCAGUUGAAACUGGCAGUCUUGAGUACAGUAGAGGUGGGCGGAAUUCGUGGUGUAGCGGUGAAAUGCUUAGAUAGCACGAAGAACUCCGAUUGCGAAGGCAGUUCACUGGACUGCAACUGACACUGAGGCUCGAAAGUGUGGGUAUCAAACAGGAUUAGAUACCCGGGUAGUC
RNAcentral lists this ribosomal RNA (460 nucleotides) under uncultured bacterium. Its description in RNAcentral is "partial 16S ribosomal RNA". It matches the Rfam family "Bacterial small subunit ribosomal RNA", at positions 338 to 795 of the family's 1533-position model. The record is from RNAcentral.